GCGCCCAUGGUGAAAUGGAUAUCACACCUGUCUUCGGAACAGGCGUUCUGGGUUCGAGUCCUGGUGGGCGCA
This 72-nucleotide transfer RNA is filed under the name Patescibacteria group bacterium. Its description in RNAcentral is "tRNA-Arg". It matches the Rfam family "tRNA". From Rfam's summary of the family: Transfer RNA (tRNA) molecules are approximately 80 nucleotides in length. Their secondary structure includes four short double-helical elements and three loops (D, anti-codon, and T loops). Further hydrogen bonds mediate the characteristic L-shaped molecular structure. tRNAs have two regions of fundamental functional importance: the anti-codon, which is responsible for specific mRNA codon recognition, and the 3' end, to which the tRNAs corresponding amino acid is attached (by aminoacyl-tRNA synthetases). tRNAs cope with the degeneracy of the genetic code in two manners: having more than one tRNA (with a specific anti-codon) for a particular amino acid; and 'wobble' base-pairing, i.e. permitting non-standard base-pairing at the 3rd anti-codon position. The record is from RNAcentral.